RNAcentral lists this ribosomal RNA (889 nucleotides) under Diaporthe sp. Its description in RNAcentral is "partial large subunit ribosomal RNA". It matches the Rfam family "Eukaryotic large subunit ribosomal RNA", at positions 38 to 959 of the family's 3401-position model. The record is from RNAcentral. Lineage: Eukaryota; Fungi; Ascomycota; Sordariomycetes; Diaporthales; Diaporthaceae.
GCAUAUCAAUAAGCGGAGGAAAAGAAACCAACAGGGAUUGCCCUAGUAACGGCGAGUGAAGCGGCAACAGCUCAAAUUUGAAAUCUGGCCUCGGCCCGAGUUGUAAUUUGCAGAGGAUGCUUCUGGCGCGGUGCCUUCCGAGUUCCCUGGAACGGGACGCCACAGAGGGUGAGAGCCCCGUAUGGUCGGACACCAAGCCUGUGUGAAGCUCCUUCGACGAGUCGAGUAGUUUGGGAAUGCUGCUCUAAAUGGGAGGUAAAUCUCUUCUAAAGCUAAAUACCGGCCAGAGACCGAUAGCGCACAAGUAGAGUGAUCGAAAGAUGAAAAGCACCUUGAAAAGGGGGUUAAAUAGUACGUGAAAUUGUUGAAAGGGAAGCACUUAUGACCAGACUUGGGCCGGGCGGCUCAUCAGGGGUUCUCCCCUGUGCACUCCGCCCGGCACAGGCCAGCAUCGGUUCUCGUGGGGGGAUAAGACCGUCAGGAACGUAGCACCCUCCGGGGUGUGUUAUAGCCUGGCGGACGAUACCCCCGUGGGGACCGAGGUCCGCGCAUUGCAAGGAUGCUGGCGUAAUGGUCAUCAGUGACCCGUCUUGAAACACGGACCAAGGAGUCGUCCAUUAGAGCGAGCGUUUGGGUGUAAAACCCGCACGCGUAAUGAAAGUGAACGCAGGUGAGAGCUUCGGCGCAUCAUCGACCGAUCCUGAUGUUCUCGGAAGGAUUUGAGUAAGAGUUUUAACGGACGGACCCGAAAGACAGUGAACUAUGCUUGAAUAGGGUGAAGCCAGAGGAAACUCUGGUGGAGGCUCGCAGCGGUUCUGACGUGCAAAUCGAUCGUCAAAUUUGAGCAUGGGGGCGAAAGACUAAUCGAACUGUCUAGUAGCUGGUUACC